This 601-nucleotide ribosomal RNA is filed under the name Eumerus etnensis. RNAcentral describes it as "eukaryotic LSU rRNA". The record is from RNAcentral. Lineage: Eukaryota; Metazoa; Arthropoda; Insecta; Diptera; Syrphidae.
GAGUUCAAUAGUACGUGAAACUGCUUAGAGGUUAAGCCCGAUGAACCUGAAUAUCCAUUAUGGAAAAUUCAACAUUAAUAUUAUAAUAUAUUAUGUGUAUUUUCAAUAUAUAUUUAUAUUAUAAAUAUGGUGUGCAAUUUUUCCAUAUAAGGACAUUGUAAUCUGUUAAUGUUUUUAUUUAUGAAAAGAUCCUAAAUUUUUAGUUUAAUCAAAUUAGUUAUUUUCGGAUUUCUAACAUAGAUUAAAUUAAAUUGGAUUUGAUAAAUCAUUGACAGAUUUAUUUGUAUAUAGUGCUUAAAUUCUUAAUUGAAUUUUACAAUGAUUUUUUAAUCUAUGAUUUUAAAAUUUAUUGUAUGCGCUUAUAUGAUUAACAAUGCUUAAGAUUCAGGAUACCUUCGGGACCCGUCUUGAAACACGGACCAAGGAGUCUAACAUAUGUGCAAGUCAUUGGGUAUUUUUAAUAAAACCCAAAGGCGUAAUUAACUUAACUGUUUUUUUAUAAAUGGGAUUAGUUUAUAUUUUAUUAUGAAAUAUAAAUUCAAUCCCGGGGCGUUCUAUAUAGUUAUGUAUAAUGAUAUUUAUAUUAUUUAUGCCUCUAACU